RNAcentral lists this long non-coding RNA (1078 nucleotides) under Marmota monax (woodchuck). The record is from RNAcentral. Lineage: Eukaryota; Metazoa; Chordata; Mammalia; Rodentia; Sciuridae.
UUUCAUGUCAAAUCAGGUUUAGGAAUUUUGCAGAUCAAAGCGGGGCGGGGGUGGGGGCGUAGCGGCAAGGAGAGGACAGCUUCCCCAGCACUUGCUUGGGCGGCUGCCGAGCCCUGACAGGAAGACUCACGGCUCUGCCUGCAACCGAGUCCCGGGAAUUGUGUAUGUCUUGAGAAGCAGUUUGAGUGGCAUGUAUUUAAGACAAUCCAUUCAUAUUUGAGCAAACUUAUGCAAUUCAUAUCUCCCAGAUGUCAGCUUGAACAGGAGGUAAGAAGAAUGGUAAUGCCUCACACUCAUUUCAGAUAAAAAUCAUGGAUAAUUAUGUAUUUACACAUUAAUUUAUGUCACAGAAGGAUGUCGAGUGAGAAAAUAGGAUAUCUACACUCUGCAGUUAAGGGCAUAGAUUGUUAGACACUUCCAGGAAGGGCGAUUUGGAAAUGCAUAUGCAAAAGCUGAGAAAUAUUCAUGAUCCUUGACUCAUCAAUUUUUCAAUGAAAUAAGAAGAUAAAAGAUUAUAUAACUUAUUUAUUAUGUUAGCAUUGUGUUUACAAUAAUGAUAUUUCAUAUUGAGACUACAGAGGCAAAAUAGAGGAAUUUAUAGGAAUUCAUUCACACAAUAGAAUAGUUUGCAGCAUCCUUGAGUGUAAUUAUGAUUUAUAAUUGCUUAAAUGGAAAUAUAUUUUUUAAUGAUAACAUAAGAUUAUCAAAUAGUAUUUAAAGUAUGAUCCCAUUUUGGUAAUAAUAUAGUCUUUUUCACUUUCUGGUUCAUAUGAAUGAAAAUUCUUUUGAAGAAUUGAAUGAUAUUUAAAAUUUUGUCCUUCGCCUUAAAUUUUUAUUUCUCCUGGUCUUUCUCCAUAUGUUUCUGGACUAUAAUGUCAUGAAACACUGUUAUAGAUUAAGAUUAAUAAAUUGUAUGGGUGUGUUUCAGCUAUAUGUUGCUGCAUAAAAAAUGUAGUAACUGAAAUAAAUAAUUUACUCUUUUUAAAGAUUCUUUGACAUUUUGUUUUACAUAGUGUCGAGUGAUGGGAUGACUAGAAAAUCUAAGAUGUCCACAUAGUGUGGACACGGGUGGGAGCUG